RNAcentral lists this RNase P RNA (468 nucleotides) under Saprospiraceae bacterium. RNAcentral's name for it is "RNase P RNA component class A". It matches the Rfam family "Bacterial RNase P class A". From Rfam's summary of the family: Ribonuclease P (RNase P) is a ubiquitous endoribonuclease, found in archaea, bacteria and eukarya as well as chloroplasts and mitochondria. Its best characterised activity is the generation of mature 5'-ends of tRNAs by cleaving the 5'-leader elements of precursor-tRNAs. The record is from RNAcentral. Lineage: Bacteria; Pseudomonadati; Bacteroidota; Saprospiria; Saprospirales; Saprospiraceae.
ACUACAGGCCGCUCUGCCGCCUUUUUUUCUGCGAAAAUCAGAAAUAGGGAGGAAAGUCCGGACAACAUAGCGCACCGCACCACCUAACGGGUGGAGUUGCCAAAGCAAUUUGGCGGCAUAGACAGGGUCACAGAAAAUUACCGCUGCCUCCAACUUCCCUCCCCGCAAGGGAGGGCCAAGUGGAGGUUGUAAGGGUGAAAACGUGCGGUAAGAGCGCACGAUCCCGGCUGGUAACAGUCGGGGGGGAUAAACCUUGCGGGUUGAAAUGCCAUGUACACCUUGUGCCGACCCCGAAGAAAUCGGGGCCGGUGUGUGUUGCUCGCACACAGCAUGCGCCGGUUCGUCCGGACAUCAGCAAGGGGGGUAGGCAGCGCAGACUCCGGCGGUGACGUUCGGAGCCAGAUAAAUGGCAGAGGCUUGCCGGGCAACCGGGAAGUACAGAAUCCGGCUUACAGGCCUGUAGUUUUU